RNAcentral lists this transfer RNA (66 nucleotides) under Parapediasia teterrellus. Its description in RNAcentral is "tRNA-Leu". The record is from RNAcentral. Lineage: Eukaryota; Metazoa; Arthropoda; Insecta; Lepidoptera; Crambidae. RNAcentral also lists the same sequence under 1 other name.
ACUAUUUUGGCAGAAAAAAUGUAAUGAUUUUAGAAGUCAUGAAUGUAUAAUUUUAUACAUGUAGUA